GACGGAGGAUGCAAGUGUUAUCCGGAAUCACUGGGCGUAAAGCGUCUGUAGGUGGUUUAAUAAGUCAACUGUUAAAUCUUGAGGCUCAACCUCAAAAUCGCAGUCGAAACUAUUAGGCUAGAGUAUAGUAGGGGUAAAGGGAAUUUCCAGUGAAGCGGUGAAAUGCGUAGAGAUUGGAAAGAACACCGAUGGCGAAGGCACUUUACUGGGCUAUUACUAACACUCAGAGACGAAAGCUAGGGUAGCAAAUGGG
RNAcentral lists this ribosomal RNA (253 nucleotides) under uncultured bacterium. Its description in RNAcentral is "partial 16S ribosomal RNA". It matches the Rfam family "Bacterial small subunit ribosomal RNA", at positions 524 to 776 of the family's 1533-position model. The record is from RNAcentral.